This 629-nucleotide ribosomal RNA is filed under the name bacterium enrichment culture clone SC-1_41. Its description in RNAcentral is "bacterial SSU rRNA". It matches the Rfam family "Bacterial small subunit ribosomal RNA", at positions 1 to 682 of the family's 1533-position model. The record is from RNAcentral.
UAGAGUUUGAUCCUGGCUCAGAACGAACGCUGGCGGCAUGCCUAACACAUGCAAGUCGAACGAUGCCUUCGGGCAUAGUGGCGCACGGGUGCGUAACGCGUGGGAAUCUGCCUUUAGGUUCGGAAUAACUCCUCGAAAGGGGUGCUAAUACCGGAUGAUGUCGAAAGACCAAAGAUUUAUCGCCUGAAGAUGAGCCCGCGUGAGAUUAGCUAGUUGGUGGGGUAAAGGCCUACCAAGGCGACGAUCUCUAGCUGGUCUGAGAGGAUGAUCAGCCACACUGGGACUGAGACACGGCCCAGACUCCUACGGGAGGCAGCAGUGGGGAAUAUUGGACAAUGGGCGAAAGCCUGAUCCAGCAAUGCCGCGUGAGUGAUGAAGGCCUUAGGGUUGUAAAGCUCUUUUACCCGGGAAGAUAAUGACUGUACCGGGAGAAUAAGCUCCGGCUAACUCCGUGCCAGCAGCCGCGGUAAUACGGAGGGAGCUAGCGUUGUUCGGAAUUACUGGGCGUAAAGCGCACGUAGGCGGCUUUGUAAGUCAGAGGUGAAAGCCUGGAGCUCAACUCCAGAACUGCCUUUGAGACUGCAUCGCUUGAAUCCGGGAGAGGUGAGUGGAAUUCCGAGUGUAGAGGU